RNAcentral lists this ribosomal RNA (2249 nucleotides) under Salmonella enterica subsp. enterica serovar Hadar. RNAcentral's name for it is "partial 23S ribosomal RNA". It matches the Rfam family "Bacterial large subunit ribosomal RNA", at positions 711 to 2925 of the family's 2925-position model. The record is from RNAcentral. Lineage: Bacteria; Pseudomonadati; Pseudomonadota; Gammaproteobacteria; Enterobacterales; Enterobacteriaceae.
AGACCCGAAACCCGGUGAUCUAGCCAUGGGCAGGUUGAAGGUUGGGUAACACUAACUGGAGGACCGAACCGACUAAUGUUGAAAAAUUAGCGGAUGACCUGUGGCUGGGGGUGAAAGGCCAAUCAAACCGGGAGAUAGCUGGUUCUCCCCGAAAGCUAUUUAGGUAGCGCCUCGUGAAUUCAUCUCCGGGGGUAGAGCACUGUUUCGGCUAGGGGGCCAUCCCGGCUUACCAACCCGAUGCAAACUGCGAAUACCGGAGAAUGUUAUCACGGGAGACACACGGCGGGUGCUAACGUCCGUCGUGAAGAGGGAAACAACCCAGACCGCCAGCUAAGGUCCCAAAGUCAUGGUUAAGUGGGAAACGAUGUGGGAAGGCCCAGACAGCCAGGAUGUUGGCUUAGAAGCAGCCAUCAUUUAAAGAAAGCGUAAUAGCUCACUGGUCGAGUCGGCCUGCGCGGAAGAUGUAACGGGGCUAAACCAUGCACCGAAGCUGCGGCAGCGACGCUUAUGCGUUGUUGGGUAGGGGAGCGUUCUGUAAGCCUGUGAAGGUGGCCUGUGAGGGUUGCUGGAGGUAUCAGAAGUGCGAAUGCUGACAUAAGUAACGAUAAAGCGGGUGAAAAGCCCGCUCGCCGGAAGACCAAGGGUUCCUGUCCAACGUUAAUCGGGGCAGGGUGAGUCGACCCCUAAGGCGAGGCCGAAAGGCGUAGUCGAUGGGAAACGGGUUAAUAUUCCCGUACUUGGUGUUACUGCGAAGGGGGGACGGAGAAGGCUAUGUUGGCCGGGCGACGGUUGUCCCGGUUUAAGCGUGUAGGCUGGUUUUCCAGGCAAAUCCGGAAAAUCAAGGCUGAGGCGUGACGACGAGGCACUACGGUGCUGAAGCAACAAAUGCCCUGCUUCCAGGAAAAGCCUCUAAGCAUCAGGUAACAUCAAAUCGUACCCCAAACCGACACAGGUGGUCAGGUAGAGAAUACCAAGGCGCUUGAGAGAACUCGGGUGAAGGAACUAGGCAAAAUGGUGCCGUAACUUCGGGAGAAGGCACGCUGACACGUAGGUGAAGUGAUUUACUCAUGGAGCUGAAGUCAGUCGAAGAUACCAGCUGGCUGCAACUGUUUAUUAAAAACACAGCACUGUGCAAACACGAAAGUGGACGUAUACGGUGUGACGCCUGCCCGGUGCCGGAAGGUUAAUUGAUGGGGUCAGCGCAAGCGAAGCUCCUGAUCGAAGCCCCGGUAAACGGCGGCCGUAACUAUAACGGUCCUAAGGUAGCGAAAUUCCUUGUCGGGUAAGUUCCGACCUGCACGAAUGGCGUAAUGAUGGCCAGGCUGUCUCCACCCGAGACUCAGUGAAAUUGAACUCGCUGUGAAGAUGCAGUGUACCCGCGGCAAGACGGAAAGACCCCGUGAACCUUUACUAUAGCUUGACACUGAACAUUGAGCCUUGAUGUGUAGGAUAGGUGGGAGGCUUUGAAGUGUGGACGCCAGUCUGCAUGGAGCCGACCUUGAAAUACCACCCUUUAAUGUUUGAUGUUCUAACGUGGACCCGUUACCCGGGUUGCGGACAGUGUCUGGUGGGUAGUUUGACUGGGGCGGUCUCCUCCUAAAGAGUAACGGAGGAGCACGAAGGUUGGCUAAUCCUGGUCGGACAUCAGGAGGUUAGUGCAAUGGCAUAAGCCAGCUUGACUGCGAGCGUGACGGCGCGAGCAGGUGCGAAAGCAGGUCAUAGUGAUCCGGUGGUUCUGAAUGGAAGGGCCAUCGCUCAACGGAUAAAAGGUACUCCGGGGAUAACAGGCUGAUACCGCCCAAGAGUUCAUAUCGACGGCGGUGUUUGGCACCUCGAUGUCGGCUCAUCACAUCCUGGGGCUGAAGUAGGUCCCAAGGGUAUGGCUGUUCGCCAUUUAAAGUGGUACGCGAGCUGGGUUUAGAACGUCGUGAGACAGUUCGGUCCCUAUCUGCCGUGGGCGCUGGAGAACUGAGGGGGGCUGCUCCUAGUACGAGAGGACCGGAGUGGACGCAUCACUGGUGUUCGGGUUGUCAUGCCAAUGGCACUGCCCGGUAGCUAAAUGCGGAAGAGAUAAGUGCUGAAAGCAUCUAAGCACGAAACUUGCCCCGAGAUGAGUUCUCCCUGAGACUUAGAGUCUCCUGAAGGAACGUUGAAGACGACGACGUUGAUAGGCCGGGUGUGUAAGCGCAGCGAUGCGUUGAGCUAACCGGUACUAAUGAACCGUGAGGCUUAACCUUACAACGCCGAAG